GAUGAAGAACGUAGCGAAAUGCGAUACGUAAUGUGGAUUGCAGAAUUCAGUGAAUCAUCGAAUCUUUGAACGCACAUUGCGCCCGCCAGCACUCUGGCGGGCAUGCCUGUUCGAGCGUCAUUUCAACCAUCAAGCCCCAGGCUUGCGUUGGAGCCCUGCGGCUGCCGCAGCCUCCUAAAAGCAGUGGCGGGCUCGCUAUCACACCGAGUGCAGUAGAUUACUCUUCGCUCAGGGCGUGCAGCGGGUUCCGGCCGUGAAACCCCCUACUUUUAAAGGUUGACCUCGGAUCAGGUAGGAAUACCCGCUGAACUUAAGCAUAUCAAUAAGCGGAGGA
RNAcentral lists this unclassified non-coding RNA (334 nucleotides) under soil metagenome. RNAcentral describes it as "partial contains 5.8S ribosomal RNA, internal transcribed spacer 2, and large subunit ribosomal RNA". The stretch from base 1 to 120 matches the Rfam family "5.8S ribosomal RNA", at positions 35 to 154 of the family's 154-position model. The record is from RNAcentral.